AUCGCUUCUCGGCCUUUUGGCUAAGAUCAAGUAUAAUGAUACAGGCAUAAAAAGAUUAAACAGUGUUUUCCAUGCAGGUUUAGUAAUUAAGUUAUUCAUGGCUACAGACUUUAACCUUUCUUGUACCAGUGAAGUCCCA
This 139-nucleotide small nuclear RNA is filed under the name Phocoena sinus (vaquita). RNAcentral describes it as "U2 spliceosomal RNA (ENSPSNG00000006982.1)". It matches the Rfam family "U2 spliceosomal RNA". Rfam says of the family: U2 is a small nuclear RNA (snRNA) component of the spliceosome (involved in pre-mRNA splicing). Complementary binding between U2 snRNA (in an area lying towards the 5' end but 3' to hairpin I) and the branchpoint sequence (BPS) of the intron results the bulging out of an unpaired adenosine, on the BPS, which initiates a nucleophilic attack at the intronic 5' splice site, thus starting the first of two transesterification reactions that mediate splicing. Lineage: Eukaryota; Metazoa; Chordata; Mammalia; Artiodactyla; Phocoenidae. The record is from Rfam by way of RNAcentral.